CGUUCUAUAUUUUUUUAUAUUUAUUCCAUAUUUUUUUUGUUCCGAGUGAGAUUUUUAAUUUUUUUUAAUCAGUUUGCAACACGUGAUCACAUGACCGCGAUGCACUUCCUCAUUGCGCCAUUUUGGCGUUUGGUUACAUGAAGGAAGAACUGUCUACUGCUUGUCGUGCGGCCGCGGAUGCCUUAGAGAUUUUAAGUAAUUUGAGACCUGGUUUUACCAGAAAUGUUACACUUCGGAUGAAUUUAACGGCAGUCUCUGUCAGUCAGCCGAACAACGGGGAUCGUCAGGUGAACAACGAGGAACCCCAGGCGAACGAACGUGCCAUUCAACUCUCGACGUCGCCAGCCUCAAGCAGUUCUACUCAAGCUCGGCUUGCCACUCUCUUUCCGACAAUGGGCUCGAACCGAGCUAGUAGGAAAAGCACUGGAAGAAGACUAGCAAGGUCAAAGCAGACCAUUAAGUCGACCAAAGGCCGCCCAUCUAAGACACUUGUUUACAAGGAUCUAGUCCUUAUUCCCAGUCCCAAGAUAAACAAAGUGCCUACACAUACAAUCCGACUUCAGUUAGAAGAGAGAGAGCUUGUCUGCCACGAGUUUCCCUUUGACAAGAGCUUGGAUGCAAAUUCCCUCAAAGCUGCUAUGUUGAAUCGAUUUCCAAAGCUUUUGCUAUUUGAAUAUGUCAAGCCAUGGUAUGGAAAGCAAAUAACUCCUAAGUUGGCAGAUGGCAUAACUCUGAAUGCAGAAAGAGUGACCAGGAUGGCUGGUCAAGAAGCUGGUUAUGUUAGAUCACUGGUGCCUUUGGAAUCUGAAGAUGUGGCGCGAAACUGAAGAGGAGCUAGAGAAUUCAGUAUUGGAUAGCAGUCCAAGGGUGAACGUUUUCUUGUGAAUUUUUGCAUUGAACAAGAUAACACCUGUAUGGAUUUCUUUAAACUUUUUCGCCUCACUACAAAGUGUUAGUGGAGCACAAAGAAGCCCUGUGUUGCUUUCAUUCGGGGAGAGCGAUGGGAGGCCAGAUGCAGCUGUGGUGCCCCACCCCUGCCAGGAGGCUGCACAACGUUUUUGUGUUCCAUUUCCAACUGAGGCAGGAACAUCACAUCAAAAUACAGAGUUAAAUGAUGUAGAGACAGGCAGUAACUCUGAUAUUGUUUUGGCAUCAUCUGAGCUACCUGUACCAGUAACUGCACCUGUUUUAGGCAGUAACUCUGAUAUUGUUCAUGCAUCAUCUGAGCAUGUACCUGUACUUCAACUGCUAUCCAACUGCUAUCGUAUCAUCCAAGUGCACCGGUUAAAUAUUAAGAAGGAUUUGAUUGACUUAUUCCGAUAUCCAUUAAUUAUGAGUCAAGACAUAAAGAUAUUAAAUUGUUAUUGAUGCUAGGAGAGUUGAAGAAAUUGGCAGAGGUGUUGGGUUGCUUAGAGAUGUUUUCUCCUCUUUUUUGGAGGGAAACAUUUGAUAUAUGAUUCCCUUUUUGUUAGAGAAAAUGAGCGUGUACCAUUUGUAAUACAUGACUAUUAAAGGGAUAAAUGGGUUGCUGUUGGCAGAAUUUUGGUGAAAGGAUAUUUGACCUGUCAGUACCUACCAGUCCCUCUGUCUGAAACGUUCCUUACCUGUCUUUUUUGUGGGCAAUCUGCUGUAACUAGCGCUAUGCUGACUCAGUCCUUAAAAAAUUACAUUUUAGUAGAUGAAAAAUGUUUGAUUGACAAGUGCCUUGCUGGUGAUAUGAAGUGCGAUGAUGAAGACGAAGUGUCCCAGCUUUUAAAAGUACUUUGUAACUAUGACUGUCGAAUUAUGGUAAAUUCUGAGAAUUUCAUUCAAGUUAUUCAAGAAAUAGCCCGUAAGGAGCUGCUGCAGAAGCCACAGUAUAUUGCAGACUGCUAGAAAGAUAUAGUUUUCACACACUUUCCUAGUUUUCCUGAUUUUGCAGCACUUUCCAAAAGGUAUGAAUUAAUUGUUAAUACCAUCCACGAGCAAAAUACUUAGUUGCCUAGAGGCAAACCCUGAAAGUGAUGGCGAAAGGGAUAGCCUUAAGUUUUUUAGACGGUAUAUUAAAGGCCUUAACACACCUCAGAAAUUAUCAAAGCUUGUAAGGUUUAUCAGUGGGUCUGAGUUAAUGCUUUUUGACGCAAACCAUUUUAUCUGGUAUGGGUCACCGACCAAUUGCCCACACUUGCAAUACUGUGUUGGAGCUAUCCUAAACUUAUCAUUCAUUUCCUGAACUUAGAGAGGAGUUCAGUUCAAUACUUGCAUCACAUUAUUGGGAAAUGGAUAUUAUGUAAUAUGCUUUGGGACGAGAAGAAGACCAUUAUGGUGGUAAGCUGAUUUAGAACAGACUGAUAAUUUCAUUUUUCAUAUAUGAAUUGUGUUUUCUGCCUUUGAUGGGUAUUUACAGUUUUAAAACAUGUAACAACAGUGCACAAAUUAUUUGUGCACCGAUUCCUGUACAUCAUACUGGGAAAUCAUUAGCUAAUGGCUUAUUGUAGUAUCAAGCUUGUUAUCUGUUUAAAGUUGACAUUUUAAAGCGAACGCAGCUGUUUAGAACUAUAUUGAGAUUUUAAUGUACUUUUUUCCUGACUGUUGUAAGGGUUAAGUUGCAUUCGUUGUGUUCUAUUCUGAUAGAUAAAAUUUGAAGGCAAAGUAAUAAAUUUCGCACUGUUUACGUUUUCAAUCCGUCAUCGAAGUUGGUAGUCUACGAUUAACCGUAAAUGGGAAGCAAGAGUAAAGAACUCUCUACAAUUUUCUAGCAGAAUGUCUCUUGUUCCAUGUUUCACUCUUAGAGUGAAUUAUGCUACCCAGGCAAUCAAUCCUCACAAAAAAAAACAAACAAACAAACAAACAAAAAA
RNAcentral lists this unclassified non-coding RNA (2837 nucleotides) under Orbicella faveolata. Its description in RNAcentral is "uncharacterized LOC110055565, transcript variant X1". The record is from RNAcentral. Lineage: Eukaryota; Metazoa; Cnidaria; Anthozoa; Scleractinia; Merulinidae.